GUAUAAUGGGUCAGCGACUUAUAUUCAGUGGCAAGCUUAACCGUAUAGGGUAGGCGUAGCGAAAGCGAGUCUUAAUAGGGCGUUUAGUCGCUGGGUAUAGACCCGAAACCGGGCGAUCUAUCCAUGAGCAGGUUGAAGGUUAGGUAACACUGACUGGAGGACCGAACCCACUCCCGUUGAAAAGGUAGGGGAUGACUUGUGGAUCGGAGUGAAAGGCUAAUCAAGCUCGGAGAUAGCUGGUUCUCCUCGAAAGCUAUUUAGGUAGCGCCUCAUGUAUCACUCUGGGGGGUAGAGCACUGUUUCGGCUAGGGGGUCAUCCCGACUUACCAAACCGAUGCAAACUCCGAAUACCCAGAAGUGCCGAGCAUGGGAGACACACGGCGGGUGCUAACGUCCGUCGUGAAAAGGGAAACAACCCAGACCGCCAGCUAAGGUCCCAAAGUUGUGGUUAAGUGGUAAACGAUGUGGGAAGGCUUAGACAGCUAGGAGGUUGGCUUAGAAGCAGCCAUCCUUUAAAGAAAGCGUAAUAGCUCACUAGUCGAGUCGGCCUGCGCGGAAGAUGUAACGGGGCUCAAACCACACACCGAAGCUGCGGGUGUCACGUAAGUGACGCGGUAGAGGAGCGUUCUGUAAGCCUGUGAAGGUGAGUUGAGAAGCUUGCUGGAGGUAUCAGAAGUGCGAAUGCUGACAUGAGUAACGACAAUGGGUGUGAAAAACACCCACGCCGAAAGACCAAGGGUUCCUGCGCAACGUUAAUCGACGCAGGGUUAGUCGGUUCCUAAGGCGAGGCUGAAAAGCGUAGUCGAUGGGAAACAGGUUAAUAUUCCUGUACUUCUGGUUACUGCGAUGGAGGGACGGAGAAGGCUAGGCCAGCUUGGCGUUGGUUGUCCAAGUUUAAGGUGGUAGGCUGAAAUCUUAGGUAAAUCCGGGGUUUCAAGGCCGAGAGCUGAUGACGAGUCGUCUUUUAGAUGACGAAGUGGUUGAUGCCAUGCUUCCAAGAAAAGCUUCUAAGCUUCAGGUAACCAGGAACCGUACCCCAAACCGACACAGGUGGUCGGGUAGAGAAUACCAAGGCGCUUGAGAGAACUCGGGUGAAGGAACUAGGCAAAAUGGCACCGUAACUUCGGGAGAAGGUGCGCCGGCUAGGGUGAAGGAUUUACUCCGUAAGCUCUGGCUGGUCGAAGAUACCAGGCCGCUGCGACUGUUUAUUAAAAACACAGCACUCUGCAAACACGAAAGUGGACGUAUAGGGUGUGACGCCUGCCCGGUGCCGGAAGGUUAAUUGAUGGGGUUAGCGCAAGCGAAGCUCUUGAUCGAAGCCCCGGUAAACGGCGGCCGUAACUAUAACGGUCCUAAGGUAGCGAAAUUCCUUGUCGGGUAAGUUCCGACCUGCACGAAUGGCGUAACGAUGGCGGCGCUGUCUCCACCCGAGACUCAGUGAAAUUGAAAUCGCUGUGAAGAUGCAGUGUAUCCGCGGCUAGACGGAAAGACCCCGUGAACCUUUACUGUAGCUUUGCACUGGACUUUGAGCCUGCUUGUGUAGGAUAGGUGGGAGGCUUUGAAGCGUGGACGCCAGUUCGCGUGGAGCCAUCCUUGAAAUACCACCCUGGCAUGCUU
Molecule: ribosomal RNA, 1617 nt
Filed under: Pseudomonas aeruginosa
Lineage: Bacteria; Pseudomonadati; Pseudomonadota; Gammaproteobacteria; Pseudomonadales; Pseudomonadaceae
Description: partial 23S ribosomal RNA
Rfam family: Bacterial large subunit ribosomal RNA
Source: RNAcentral